UGAAGCUCGUCUCCUCCCCUCAUAUCUUCAGCAUAUUCCUUAAUUUUCAUAGCAGAAUCUUCAAGUUGAGGGCUCUCUACAAGUUUGAUAAUUUUCAAUGAACUAAUAUCCCCGAAAAUAGGUGGAAUCUCCUCAAGCUCAUGACAUCCCUGCAGUUUUAAUUUCUCAAGGGAGGGAAAGGAUUCCUCUCCAACCUCCCACUUGGAAAGUGUCAUUUCAUGCAACUUCAAAUAUUUGAGAUUCUCAAAGGUGUCUUCCUCCCCCAUGUUCCAUUCUUCCCCAUGGAUGAUUGUAUGACCAAGGUACAACUCUUCAAGGUUGGACAGUCUCGCUAUUGUUGAUAGUGAAUUGGAUGUCAGAGGAAAGUCAACCAGACGCAAUUUUUUCAGAUUCAAAGGGAAGUAAAAAUUCCAUGGCCGAUUUAUGGCUGCAGAGGACCCACUGUCAUUUGUGUUUGAACUUUCAAAACCUACAUUGAGGUCUUCUAGUUCAGUUAGGCAAUCCAAUUUCGGGAACCAGUAUUGCUCUGUUGAAUAAUCCCAUGAUUCCUUGAGUUCAAACUGAGGCAAUUGAAGAUUGGGAAACCUUUUGAAAAUAACCUCUGUAUCUUUCGAAUAGGAAAGAAUGAGUUGCCCUAAUAUUUUCAACUUCUCUAACUUUGUGUCCUCUGCUAUCAGUAUUGAUUCAUCUGCAUACAAAUCAAAGAAAGAGCAAGCAGUCAUGCCCAGCACUCGCAACUUUACAAGAUCCCAAAUUCUCGGUAAUAGUAUCAAGAUUGUUCUAUAGUUUUCAACCAUUAGAGUUUCUAGAUUCCAGAGGUUUGAGAAGAUAAAGGCAGAGAUUCAACUUCUGUCCUAAUGUAUAAGAACCUCAAAUGAUUCAACAUGCAUAUUUCAUUCAGCAAAGAAUCUUUCACCGUGAUAAAAGAGGUAGGCAGUUCCAAGGCUCUAAGAAGCCUCAAAUGUCUUAGAUGAAAUGUAUCAGAAACACUAUCGGCCAACUGCUCGUCUCCAUCUAUGGUCAAAGAAUAGAGGUGUUUACCAGAAUGCCUUUUCUUGUUUGAAUCAAACAAGACAAAAUUGUUAAUCCCCAAUAACCCGCUGUUAUAAUGAAUGGUAAUUUGACGUGGCAUCAAAUCUGAACAAAAAGAUGGUGUACUUGAACUUAUCUGGUCAAACAACUUUUCCUCUCUUGCUUUUAUCAAACAAAAUUCAUGCACUAGAUCAUGAAGUUGGCAAGUCGGGGUAUCACCUAUCUCGUUGAAAGCAAUUACCAAGCUACUGGAAAUUAAGUUAUCCACAUAAACCUUUAUCACUUCUUCCACACUCUUCAUCUCUGUCUGUUCCACAAGUCCUUCAGCAUGCCAUAAACCAUUCAAUGCAUAUAUUGUUAUUGCAGUGUCCUUCAGAAAACUUGCAAGGUAAAGAAAGCAUGGCUUGAUGUGAUGUGGCAAAUAAAGGAACUCAAAUUAUUUUGAACUUCAAGCCACACAGUCUUUUUCUUUUCCCUCCCAGCAAUGACUCCAGCAAUCAGAUCAGCCACCAAAGGAAGCCCUUUACAAUUUUCGGCUAUUUCUUUACCAACAUCCAAUAGUUCAUCAGGGCAACUCUCGUUUCCAAAUGCCCUUUUCUCUAAUAACUCCCAACUUUCUUCUGAUCUUAGCAAUCGAAGCUCAAGAGGAUCAGUAUAGCGCUUUCCAUGCAAAGCCACUUCCUUUUCUCGAGUAGUCAAAAUAAUUCUACUUCCUUUCAUACCAUUAGGAAAAGGUCUUGUUAACUCAUCCCACGUAGUAGUAUCCCACACAUCAUCUAAGACAAUAAGAUACCUCUUUCCAUACAGUUGUUUCCGUAGCUUAUCAGCAACAUCAAUAUUCUCAAUCAAAUUUGAAUCCGAGCCAUUAACUUGAUUAAAAAUUUUAUUCAACAAAUUCUUUUCGUCAUAUUCUUGGUCGACUGUGCACCAUGCGCGAAGGUCGAAAUGACAAGAAAUUGAUUUAUCAUUGUAUACUUUGAAUGCCAAAGUAGUUUUGCCUGAACCCGGCAUACCAGUGAUCGAAAUGACAUCUAGAUCUGCCGGUCCUCUGGUGAGCUCUCUAAGUAUCAGGUUUGUCUCCUCCUCAAAACCUACAAUUAUUUUAUCAGUUGUCAAUGACUUGCUCUCAACUGGUUUCUUGGGAGAGUUCACAACGAUGAGACCUCUGUUCUUGGAAAUGUUCUCAUGUAAAUCAGAGACCUCUUCUUUGAUAAGCUUCAUCUUCUUUAUGGUAAUGGGAAGUGAGAAAAUAAGAUGUAAGAGACCAUUAUCUCGAACAAUAAUUGAAUCUAUGACAUCUUUUGCCUCAUAAGCUACAUCUAGAACACGUUCCCAGAGAUCUUUAUACAAUCCUUGCUCAACAUUCACAAAGAACGAUCUUAUGAAUUCUAGGUCUUGUCUCACCAACUCAAUUUCUUCCUUUAUCAAAGCAAUUGAAUAAGCAUUGGAAUCCAGCAAAUCAUUCAAAUGUAUGUGUAGUAGAUGCAUGAAGAGAGGUCCAUCACUCAUGGGGAAGCAACAUUGAGAUGAAACCGGGACUUUCAGAUAAACAUGUUUGAGAUCUUCCUUGAGGAGUUCAAUAUCCAGCAACUUUAGGGUUGCACGAUUUGUCUCGUCGGUACUCUCUUUAUUCCUUAAUUUCUCUUCUAAGUCGCGAACAAGAGUUGCUACCUCCCUGGUAAGUGCUCCAACACGAGCCAAGAGAUCAAAAAGUUUGUCAUGAUGAAUAAAGUCCUUGGGCAUAUCAGAAAGAAUAAUCAAUAGGAAUUCCAUCAUGACAUGAAUGUUUUGAGCCCCUGAAGUGCUAGGGGUAAUAACAGUUACCAUAUGCUCUUGUAGAUGAGUCAGAUAUUCUCUGAGAAUGUCUGGAGAAGUUUCCAGGAGCUUCUUAGUGAAGCGUCCAACUUCUGCUGAAGUUGAAGCUUUCAAAUUUGUAUAACAUAUGUGCAUAACCUCCAGUUCAGUUGGAACAAUCUUCAAGAGUAGAUGUGCUAGCUCGGAGAGUCGAGAGUCUUCAUCAGUCUGAUCCUCCCAAAGGAAGUGUCCUACUCUCUCAGCCAUGAGUUGAAACAGAGGUAAGACAUUCUCAACCGUCUUAUGGUUAAUGCAACCAUUCACUAUCAAACCAUGGAAAUCUCUUACAUUGCCACAUACAUUCUGAAGAACCUCAUAUUGAGUCACUCCAGGAAACAUCUUUUCAGCACGAUGCUUGGAUAGAUGAUAGAGAUUCAAGAGGAGGAAGUCCAAUUGCUCAUCCAUCAUGGUGACAUCUGAUUUAGAACGAUGAUACAAGCUGAUACAGUCAUCCAUAUUACUGGCGAGGCUAGUAAGGACAUAUUUACACCCGACGUCUUUGCCAUCAUCAUCCAAAAUUGGUUGAAGCAGAUCCUCAACCUCUUGUCUUUUUCUACUCAUUAUAACUUCAAACUGCUCCAAAUCGGAAUAAGAAAGCUGGACAUAUGUACAAAUAAAUGCCAGCUCCAAUUUUAGCUUUUCAACUUGAUCUUUGUCAAGAGCUUUUUGAUUUUCUUCAUUCUCUAAUCUCUCUAGGAUAUCCAGAACAUCGGCAAUGUCCUUGCGAAGAGCAGAAAAUAACACCUGCCAAAGUAACACAUAUCAAAUUUUUAAAGCCACAUAUCUACAGUUCAAUACUUUACAGUUCACUCUAUCAAGUAACAUACCAAUGACUUGUUUGCUUCUUCAUUAUCUUUUCGUUUUUCCAUGAUUCUACUUUUCCUUUCCAAGUUCUCAAGACCUGAAAGAAGAUGAAAUGAUAAGAAUAAUCAAUAAUUUCACUAUUUUCAUGCGAACUUAAGAGGAGGUCUUAAUUAGUGGAAGAUGAUAAAGGUACACUUGCGAUUUGAAUUGAAGAAAAUGAAAUGCUAAGAAUAAUCAAUAAUUUCACUAUUUUCAUGCGAACUUAAGAGGAGGUCUUAAUUAGUGGAAGAUGAUAAAGGUACACUUGCGAUUUGAAUUGAAGAAAAUGACUUGUAAAAAUGGGGUUCAUCCAGAAACGAGACCUAAUGGUACCAAACCUUUCUAUUUUUUAUAGCGUAUAGUAAUAUAUUUUCAUUAGUAAGGGGAAUCUUUCGUCAUCUUAGAAAAAAUCUAAAAGAUCUGCUUCUAUUCACUCCGCACUCUCCAACCCCCUCCCUCUCACCCGGUAAGAAUUCACCCGCACUGGAUAUUAAUCAAACUAAUACAACUUAUCAUGAGUAAGUAAUAAUUUAAUGAGGUGAAAAUAUACAUUAACUAACCACAAUUAAAGUGAUAAUGUCGUGCAUCUAUUGAUUUGUUGUAAAUCGGUGGUGUGAGUAAGUAUUUAGCCCUCUCUCUUUCUCCUGCAUUUUGUUUACCUCUCUCUUUGUGAGAUCCAACUAACUCACCAAAGUUCUUUCAUUUUUCUUACAUCAUUUUUACUUUUCCAUAAUUUUACUUCAAUAGAGAUGAGAGUAGCAAAUUAUUAGAUGAGUUGACGAACCUUUUUAGUUGAUGAUGAAACUAUAUAUCCUCUGCUUGCUUUGUUAUUAGAUCUAUAGAGCUCAAAAUUCUGGAAAUAAACAGAGGAAUAAUUAAGACCAAAUAUGAUGCAUAGUAUUAUUCCAAAAAAGUAAGAAAGCAAAAGCAUGAUUAAAUUACAAUGGGGACUCACUUGUCUGCCACAAAGGAUAAAGAUAAGAAAGUUAAUCAAACUUUCAAUAAUCUGCUCACACUAUUUUCUUAUUGCCCGUCCAAAAAAUAUUACUCUCUCUGUCUCAAUUUUAGAGCUGUCAAUAUGGGCUAGCCCACCCCAUCCGGGCUAACCCAUACAUGCUUUGACAUUUUACGGGUCAGGCCAGGCUAGCCCAUUUUUGGUGUGGGCCAGAAAACGAUCGGCCCAACCCAUAAGUACGUGGGCUACAGGCUUGCCGGGCCAGCCCACUUUUUUAAAAGUUAUAUAUUUUUUUAUAAUUAUUAAAUUAAAUUAUAAAUUAUAAUUUAAAAAUAUUAUCAUAAAUAUCGAUAAAACAAUAUUACAUGGUGUUAAUGUUACUACUUGUUAAUCAAAUCCACAAAUAAAAUUAUCUUUAUAAUAUUUAUUAAGUUUUUUUCAAGUAAAAGUAUAAAUAUCUAAAUAGAAAUAUUAACUCAACUGUUUUGCAAUAAUCACAAUAAAAUACAAAAAAUAUGACAAUAUUCCAACCAUAAAAAUGUAAAAAAUAAACUCCUUAAAAAAUCAUGAAACUUAUGGCGUAUCUAACACUUCAUGAAACCUAUGGCGUAUCUAACACUUCAUGAUCAUCUUCAUCAAGCAUAUCUGAAUCANNNNNNNNNNNNNNNNNNNNNNNNNNNNNNNNNNNNNNNNNNNNNNNNNNNNNNNNNNNNNNNNNNNNNNNNNNNNNNNNNNNNNNNNNNNNNNNNNNNNNNNNNNNNNNNNNNNNNNNNNNNNNNNNNNNNNNNNNNNNNNNNNNNNNNNNNNNNNNNNNNNNNNNNNNNNNNNNNNNNNNNNNNNNNNNNNNNNNNNNNNNNNNNNUUUCGAGUAGCAACAAGUGUUUGGACAUUUUCAUGGUGGAUGCAACUACUAUACUUAGUGAUUUUCUAAAAAACUUUAAAUAGAUUUUGAGUUUGGAUCUCUUUAAUUUUAAAUUUUAAUAUUAUAUUAUAUUUUUUAAUUAAUUUGUAUUAGCCCACGGGCCGGCCCUACCUAUAUUUCUCAAGCCCCACAAAUCAGAAACUAUUUAAACCAUAUAUAUAAAUAGUGUAAUUAUCCGUCAAAGAGGGUUUGAAUGAACCCUCUCGACCUUACCUGACUCCCCCGAUAAAAGGCCCUAUUAAAUCCCGGGUUAGGCCAGGCUGGUCCAACAGGCCUAGCCCAUAUUGACGGCUCUACUCAAUUUAUGUGACACAUUUCAGAUUUUGAGAUUCAACAUGAAUAGAUUCAUUUUCUAAUCAGGGUGGCUUGCAUUUUCCUUAAACUUUUUGACUGUAAAUUUUUCAUUUAUCUUUUAAAUAUUUUGAAUCAUCAAUUAUUGAGACUUAUAGUACUUUUUAUGUAGUUUACAAAUAUAUAAAUUUCAUUUUAAAUAAUUUGAAGAUUCCAUGAGCAAAUUCUCGGUCAUAUGUGUUGACACCCAAUUUUGGCCCUCCCCGAUAAUAAUNAUAGUGUUGACACCCAAUUUUGGCCCUCCCCGAUAAUAAUUGAUUUUCGAGCUUCUUAAUUUCCAAACGAUUUAGAAUAAUUAGUCUUAUAAAAUUCAAAUAGUUUCAAGGUUGUUUUAAGUAAUUUCAGUCGACUUUUAUAGCAUUUUGAAUAAUAAAUAUAUUUUAUAUAGUUAUAUAUGUAAUUAGUAUAUUUUUAUAAAUAUUCGAAAUCAUAUCAAAAAGAUUUUGUCUUAUUAAUUUAGUCUAGAUUAAACCAUGAUUGUAAUUUUGAAAUUAAUUAGUUUGUAUUUAGGUUAAUCAUAUUUUAUUAAAUUAAUUAUGUUAUUUCGUUAUGAUUAAGAAGCUCGUUAGUUAAUUAUAUUGAUUCUUCUUAUUUAGAGUUUAGCCGAAUUUACCAUUUAAUUCAAACUUGGUCAUAUUGCUAGGUCAAUUUUGACCAAUCGUAAUCUAUAUGAUUAAAUUCUAAAGGAUUUGGCUUACUCCUAUUGAACCAUUUUGUUUUCUAUUAAUUUCAAGACCAUCACAGCCCAUUUCCCAUUCCAAUUCAUCAGCCCAGGCCCACUUUCAUUUGUUCACAAGACCAACAAUACUAUACAUAAUACAUUCAACAACUCCAAACAACGUACAAUACAAACGACCCCAGUACCCACGCUUCUUCUUCCUCGCGUGAACAGCAGCGAACGACGACAAAUCCAGCAGUCCAACUUCUCUCUCCAGAUAGUAUGAUUCCAACAGCUGCGUCCUCUGUCCCACCCGUCCUUCCCUCUUUCCCCUUUCGGAAUGAGUUAAAACCUCAAGAAAAGGGUGUUUGUCCGAAAUGGUGAAAGUUUUCGGAUUUUGAAAUUCAAAUGGUCCCUUGCUUUGAAUCCGAAUUCUAUCCGUUUUCCCCCCUAAAAGGAUUGGAACCCUAAAACCUCUCUAUAAAUACUACCCUCUGUUUUAGUAUCUGGGGGGAUUUUUUGGAUCUUAUUUUUUCAAACGAAAUAGAAGUCAAGUUUUCUUGGUAGAGAAUAACCUUUAGGAAUAAGUAGCAAUACACUCCUUAAUAGAGAUUUGCUAGGACUUCUGCCCAAUUUCCGUGACUACCGUUCGUAUUCGAGUCUCUCUUGGUGAAAGCCGUCACUUCUAGGCUCAUCUCGUCUCGUUCGCUGCCCGGAAAGAGGUAAACUCCUCUUAGCUUUUCUGUUUAAUGCUCAGCUCCUUCGUUAAUUUUAUUUGUGUUAUUAAGAGCGUUGAUGGUAAAAUCAAAUGUUGGCUCGGUAACCUGCCUAGAUUUCUUUUAGAUACGAUAACUAUGUGUUUCAUCAUGGGGGAUUUUCUUUUCGUCUAAAUCGAUGUUUCUGAUCAUAGUAUGUCUCAAAAUCAUGAAUGUUGUUACUCGUAAAUCGUAAAUGAUAAAUACAUCGCUUUAUGUGUAUGAUGCUGGCUCUUAGAAAUCUACUGCUCCUCUCUUGUUCUAGUAUAGUUCCAAGCAUGUUUCAUUAAUUGUUUACCUCAAAAAAUAGCUUCUGGCAUCAUAAUUUCUCCAGUAUUGCCACAUCUCUUACGGUUUUGACUAAAAAAUGAGGUGUUUUGUUUUGUUUUGUUUAAAUCUGAACCUCUCGUGGGCUGUUUAAGCUCAAUGUCACAUCUGUUCAAAUUUCAACUCCCCGAUGUGCUCGUCUUAAUUUCCAUUUCAUACUCAGUACAUCUCUAGGUUUAUUUGUUUCGGUGUAAUUAUUUGUGUAUUAGUUAUCAUGAGUUAGGAUUCGUUAGAUUCACGGUGAAAAUCUUCUUUGUCUUGACUAAAAUUUAGUCACUGUUUUGCUUUAAAAUGUAGAAAAUGCCUUGUCUCUUCUUUUGCCUUUUCAACUAGAAUUCAUUAGCUCUUGAUUGGUUGUUAUUCUAUUUAUUUCCAUGUGUUGAAAAUAAUAAGUUGAAUCAAUAUGUCCAUUAUUAUCAUAUACUGAUUCUAUUUUUUUUUUCUUUUGCGUAUGUGAUAUUCCGAGAGAAUCCAUUUUGGUUUCGACCUUUUUUUCUCCAUUUGCAUUUUCGGUUGGGCCACCAUAGGCCCAAACACGAGUCAUUUGCGAUUCGGUAUUUGUUCGAAUCAUAUUGGCAACCAAUAUAGAACAGUGAGGCUGAAAUAUGGUUCCGGAAAGCUGAAACAACCUGAGAUACAGCCUGUAUACAUAGAUAUACAGCGGGACAUACUGAUAUACAGGUUAAAACGCAGCAGCCACAGGUCAAAAAAUAAAGGAUGGGGUCGGAAGCUGAAAUACAGGUCCUAGAAUCUCAGAAAAAUGGGUUGUAUACAUCCGAUAUACACGGAUAUACACCGGAUAUAUACAAAAACGGGUUUAAGAUUAAACCCCAAAAUUUCAGCGAAUUUGGCCCAAAAAGAGGCCCAAAUUCAAUUUCUCCCUUACUCUUUAAUUAUUUAAUUAUGAUUAUUUAUUGUUCGUUGUUUAACUCUAACUUUAUAUUUGUUAAUUAACUUAAUUAAAAUCCCCAAAAGAUGAACCGUAUUCUUUAUGUUAGAUAUAUUUCAACAAAAUUUCCUUUUUAUCAACUCUCCUACUAUUAUUGAAAACUUUUACUUAAUUUUCGGUUAAUUUAAAAUAGUUUCCAUACUUUGAUUGACCAAAUGGGCCUAAAUUAUUAUUUUUAAGGGAUUCAAAAAUAAAAUAAAAAUUCUAAUUAAUCUAGAUUUGCCAAAUGCUAAUUGCUUACAAAUUAAUUCGAGUAUUCCAGUUAAAGAUUCAAUUUUCCUAAGAAACUAAGAAUUGUUCUUUUUAACUAUUUUUCUCAAAAUUGAUCAAAUAUUAUAAGUUAUUAUGUCAACAAAUCAUUUUUUUUAAAAGAUUAGUGAAAGUCAUUUUUAGUCAAAUUGCCGGUCAACCGCAAGUUAGCGGGCAUUCCGAGGGCCAAACACCUUCUCGGAAUGUACAUUUGAACUCGAACCCUUUUUCAAUUGAUUUUAUCUGUUUAAAUCUUUUGAAAAAUCUUGUAUUUUUUCUUGAUUUUUUAAUAAAAAUUAAGUGGCGACUCUGUCCUUUUGGAAAUUCGAUUUCACUUAAAUCGCCUGGCCCCGAUCAAGCCUCAAGGGCUAAGGGCCUAAGGGUUGGGCUUAUAAGCCUCGAUUUUAAACGGGCUUGAAAAAUCAUAUCCCAACCCUGCCCCAAUAACGGGUUGGGCUGGGCUGGCCCUAUGGGCUAAGCCCUUUUUGACGGCUCUAUAUUUUAUACUUGCUUAUGUGACUUGAAUAUGUUUUUAUUUUUGAAUUCUCAAAUAGGUAACAUAAUAUAGAUGUUUGGGUUUUGGUACCUUUUAGUUAGAAACAACCUUUAUUAGUCGCUUUAGCUUUUAUAAACUUCAUUUGGCAAAUUCUUUUUAAACACUUCUUUUUGCACCACUUUAAACUCACUAGAUUUAUUUAAUUUUGUUCAAACUUGACAAUGUCUUUCAAAAAUAUAUAUAAUAUAUUUUGUUCUAAACUCUUAUUUUUUCUAAAGGGAGCACUUUGUCAAUCAAUGAGCAAAUGUCUAAUUUAAUUACCUUUUUCAGCCAUGGACUACGAAUUUGUCUAAAUUGAUCUAAAGAAAUUACUUUCUUAAAUCUUUUUCAUUCUAAUAAAGUUGCAAAAGAGCUUUUAAAAUAAAAAAUAUUUUCCAACUUGGUUACUCAAUUACUUAAUUUCUAGCACUCAUAUCAUUCUUUUAAAUUUAAUUAACCUAAGUUUGGUCGGUUAACUGUUUUUUACGGAUCUUAAAGGAUGCCUUAUCCCUUUCCUUUAGGAUAAAUUAGAACCCGUACCUAGAAUCAUGCAAGUUAAAUAGACCAUUUAAUUGAAGUUAUUUUAGUAUUACUUAGUUAAAUAUUUAGGUGUCCUAAUUCACCAUAAUUAAUUAGGUGGCGACUUUUUAAGUUAAUUAAUUUAGAAUCACCAAAAUGUUAUACACCGUUUGGACCUCGAGUUAAAAUGGGGUAUAACAAUACAUAUGAAUAAUUUGUACUUAAAAAGAUCCAAAAAAAUAAUAAUAAUUCUAUUUUGUAUAUUGAAAAAAAAAACAUAUUAUGUUGCAGAUGAAGAGAAAUAUCAAUAUUGUUUUAUAUAUCAGUUAAAAACAUUACAGUUACUCAAUAAAUGUAAUAUUUUUCGUUACAACAUUAAUGCUUCGAUUAAUUCAAGCAUGUGGAUGUUCGUUAUUAAAUAAUCACACAACUUAUUUUGUCACCUCACUCACACAGCCACACAAUAUCUUUAUAAAAGUUUUCACUUUAAUUAUUGUAUUCUAAAUAAACUUGAAUGAAAUGUGUAGUUUAACACUUGAUGGAGAUAUUCUGAGCUAUACAUCAGAGACGGAUCUAGAAUUUAAGUUUUAUGCAUUCAAUAUUAUUUUUAAAGUUAUAGGUUCACAUCUAUUAUUUGUUAUAAUUUUCAUGAAAAUUUAUAUAUAUAUUUUGCAUGUAUGGUGCAGUGAAUAUCUUAGAUUAGUGUAUUUUAUUAUCAUGGUUUUUGUAAUAUUUCAUUUUUUUUUAUGUAGGCACCUAACAUAGCAUUAGAUAGGGGUGUACAAAAUCGAACCGAAAAUCGAACCAAACCGCAAACCGAAAAAAAAAACCCGACUAGUGGUUUGGUUUUGUAUUGAAAAAAAAUCCGACUAUAUUUGGAUUGGUUUGGUUUUAACNNNNNNNNNNNNNNNNNNNNNNNNNNNNNNNNNNNNNNNNNNNNNNNNNNNNNNNNNNNNNNNNNNNNNNNNNNNNNNNNNNNNNNNNNNNNNNNNNNNNNNNNNNNNNNNNNNNNNNNNNNNNNNNNNNNNNNNNNNNNNNNNNNNNNNNNNNNNNNNNNNNNNNNNNNNNNNNNNNNNNNNNNNNNNNNNNNNNNNNNNNNNNNNNNNNNNNNNNNNNNNNNNNNNNNNNNNNNNNNNNNNNNNNNNNNNNNNNNNNNNNNNNNNNNNNNNNNNNNNNNNNNNNNNNNNNNNNNNNNNNNNNNNNNNNNNNNNNNNNNNNNNNNNNNNNNNNNNNNNNNNNNNNNNNNNNNNNNNNNNNNNNNNNNNNNNNNNNNUUUUUAUUGAAUAUUUUUGUGUCAUCAGUACUAAUCUCAUAUUUUGUGUAGUUUUUUAAGAAACACCUUAGAUAAUUGUAUUUUGGUUGGACUAAAGAAAUAUUUGAAGCACAAGUUAAUUAUAUGUUUGUAUGCAAACUUUACCGAAAAAAUUCAAAAAUCUGAAAAAAUCUGAGGUUUAUUAGUUUGGUUUGAUUUAUAAAUUUAAAAAUUCGACACAAUGGUUUGGUUUGGUAUUUGAAAAACCCGAAUCAACCCGAGGUUGAAAAACCCGAAAAAAUCCAAAUUUUAUUAGUUUGGUUUGGUUUAUAAAUUUAAAAAUUUUACACAAACGGUUUGGUUUGAUAUUUGAAAAAUCCGAACCAACCCGGUCAUGUACACCCUAGCUAUAGAGAGCUUUCUUAAACAUACCGAGGAGUUGUUUGCUUUCUCUUCCUCUCUUUCUUCUUGAUUUUGUUUUCCUCUUUCCAUGAUUGUAACUUUCCUUUCAAGUUCUCAGGAUCGGACGUAUAAAAAGUACCUACAUAAAACUUUACUCUUUAGUAUUUGUUAGCAUUUGUAUUUUCAACACAACAAAAGUAUAGUAUAUAUUAUUCUUAUUAAUUUUGUUGAGAUAUUGAUCAAGGUUAGAUGAAUUUUUUUUGACGAAUAGUAAUUUUAGAUGCAAUUAGUCCCUAACAACUAGAAAUGUCAAAUAUUAAUCACAUAUAACAUGUUAUGGCGUGAAAAAAUAAACAUAAUAUCCCAAAGUUGUUGCAUUUUAAGAAAAAGAAGAUGAAGGAAAAUACAAGUCCCAGAUAUUCGAGAAAACAAAACCUAUCAAUACAAAUAUCUUUCCUGUUUUUAUGCCUCGUAUAUUAUUUUAGCUACCCUCCUUAUCAUGUUCUUUCAUUCCUUCAAACCAUAUGAUAUACGAAACUCAAUUUUGUAAAUAUAUACGUCUACCUAAUAUUCAUAUUACAAGUUGACUAAGACUUGUGGAGAUGGUGUUGUGGUUUAUGAGAAUUGAUGGAAGCCUACGAGCAACAAUAAAGUUGUCUCCAUGUAACAGUAAAGAAGCCACUAAUAUUUCUACAGUAUCCUCUUGGGGUGCGAUCCUUCCAUUAAUCCUACCAUUUUCUUCCUCCUCCUAUCUUUCUCUUUCAUUUCUUCUUUCCAUGAUUGUACUUCCCAAUAGUCAAUACCAAAGGGUAUGAAGGUCAUAGAAGAAAACAAUUAUGCAGAUAUAGUCAGACAUAUAAAAAGUCAUUUUCGAGAUAUUGAUCAAGGUCAAAUAUCAAAUGGUGCUUACAAAACGUUAUCCACAAUGUUAAUUUACACACAAAAAAAAGAAGAAGAGUAGUUUAUAAGUAGUACUUAACAAGAUCCCAAAUUCUCGGUAAUAGUACCAAGCUUUCCUUAGCUUUUGUGGGGGAUAGCGAUCUAGGCCUCCACUAUGUUCUCUCUGGUUGUGAGAGGCUCCGUAAGUUGGAGAUUAGAAACUGCCCCUUUGCAGGGGCGGCCCAACAGAUCUCGUGGCCUAAGGCAAAAUCAUAUUAAGAGGCCCUUAAAUUUAUUUUAUAAAAUUUAUACACUAACAAAAAAAUUUAUUUUCUACACAAUAGAUUAAUUAUUUAAGACAAAAAAUAACAAAUUUCAUACAAAAAAAAAAGGAAGAAGAGUAAAAAAAAUAAAGUGAUGGAUUAUCGAUGUUAAGCUUCAAAUCUCAAAUUGAAAGUUUAAUUUGGCUAUCAUCAAAUAAGAAAAAAGAAAAAAACCACUAUAUCAAAAAUGAUCUUUGCCGCUAAAUUAAUUAACAACAAUAGCUCAAUUGCCGCUAAAUAUGUAUUUUUAGCGGCAAUUAACACUCUUUGUAUAUGUCCCUAAAGCCUUUAGCGACAUUGAAUCUAAUGACACUUAACUAAUGCCGGUAAAAACUUUAGCAUUCUUUAUUAAUGUAUCUAUUUAUCGCCACUAAAAGUUGUUUUUGUUGUAGUGAACAUUAACUUAAUAGUUAAGGUUUUGAGUAUGGAUAGUAAGAAAAAUAUAUACACCUUCUUAUCAAAUUUAUGAUCAAUUUAAAUGAUACAAUUUUUUUUAAAUGAUAUAAUUCAUUCCAUUAAGUAGCACUCAUUGGUGAAUAUCUAAAAUAAAUUAUAAAACUUUCAUAUAAUAUAUUAAAUUAAAGUUAAUUAUUAAGGUUUUGAGUAUCGAUAGUAAUAACAAAAAUAUAUACACCUCCUAUCAAGUUUCUGAUCAAUUUAAAUGAUAUAAUUCAUUCCAUUAAGUAGCACUUAUUGGUGAAUAUCUAAAAUAAAUUAUAAAACUUUCAUAAAAUAUAUUAAAUUAAAAUGUAAAGGAAACUUGUGCAUGAAUGUUUUUGUGUUCGCGCAGUUUAAGAAAAGAUUGAAACAAAAAAUCAUUAUGUUAUCACAUAUAGAACUUAGUUCCUAUAUAAAAAGGAUAAAAUUUAAAAUCGGAAGUUAAAACAAAGAUAUCAAAUAAUAAGAUGAAAAGAUUAUGAGAUUUUAUGAAUUUAUUGGUAAAAAAUACUCUCAAAGAAAUAAUAAUAAAAAAUAUACCAUAAAAAUUUUAUUUAUAUAAAUUAUAUUAAUAUAUAAUAAAAUCAAUAACAAUAAUUUAAAUAAUUUGGGGCCUUCAAAUUUUUGAGGCCUAAGGGAAUGACCUCACUGGCCAUGCCUUAGAGCCGCCCCUGCCCCUUUGGCGAUGAGGCUCUGUUGGCUAAUGCUGCAAAGCUGGAGACAAUGUGAUCCCUUUGGAUGUCUAAUUGUUCAGUAAGUUUUGAAUCAUGUAAGCUACUACCCCAGAAGUUGCCAGGGCUUAAUGUUGAAGUUAUAGAUGAGAGGGGUCAUCCGGAUAUGAGACCAGAAAGUUGCCCUAUUGAGAACCUUUAUAUAUACAGGAAAGUGUCAGGAAGGAGGUUUGACACUCCUGGUUUUGUUUGGAUUAUUGAUGAAGAUGCAGCAUUGACUCCAUAUAGCAACGGGAAUUGGUCUCUGGCUUCUUCUUAGGAAGACUUCAGGUAUAAGUUCUAUGUUAAUCUUUCACCCGCGUUUACUUGCUUGAGCCUUGUGUAGUUGCAGUGCUGGUUAUGGUGGCAGUGAAGUGAUUUGACCCUUUGUUGAGCGACUUCGCAGCAAUUAAUUACAAAUAAUGAGUUUAAGCUCUUGUUGUUGUGCUAUAUCAGUAAGGACAACUAUUGUAUUUUUGUGAUGGAGGGGGGGAUGUUCAACUGUGUAUCCUAUUUUGUAUCAUUAUGUAGCAGUUUAACUUUCUCUAGUGACUUGUUCUUCUGUUGAAAUGGUGCUGUCAAUGUACUUCUCUGGUCAUGUAUUGUUGUAAUUCCCUUUGAAGAUUAAUAUGAACCCUUCAUUCAUUUGAGUGCUGGAAAUCUCAUCUGUUGAACGUUUAGAAGAAGGUAUUGCAGUGUUCUACUACGAGUCAGUUUGAUACACAAACACUUAUUUUCGUUCAGAGUGGGAUUUCAGCCUAAGUUGGUUGUAUGUUCGAGGAGAGGAAGUCACGAGUGCUUAUAAGCUCACUUCACGGCCUAGCUUUUGUGAUGAAAGUUCGUUGGGUUUGUGACAGUAGUAUCAAUGUCGUUUUAAAUCAGUACCUUGAUUGAGGUUAAACGAUCAUGCUUUGCGCACAUAAGAUGGGACUUCAGACCAUGUUAGACACAAAGGAGGUAUAACCAAAGGCAAAUCCACAGUGUAAUGUAUGAAUUUAAAUAGGGAUAAUACAUAUAUUUGACCUUAAACUUGGCUUCAAAUUUUAACUUUGACCUCCAACUUUCAUAGUGCACAAACAAGCACUUUAACUAUCCAACCUUUUAAUAAAUAAACACGCGAUUUUUGGAUCCAAGAGCGUGAAAAGCACACGCUGCCACGUGUAUUAUUGAGCCACUCAAUGGCUGCCAACUAAUUAAACACUUUACACCUCCAUUUUAGAACUAAAAAAAAAUAAAUUAAUCAAGGGUAGAGUUGUCAUUUCAGCAUUUUUUUCACUGUUGUGUGCCUCAAAAAUUACUUCUCACUCGCGCAAAAUGCGUGCACAUCACGCGUUUUGCCAGGUAAGACACGCGUGUUUAUUUAUUAAAAGGUUGGAUAGUUAAAGUGUCUAUUUGUGCACUUUGAAAGUUGGAGGUCAAAGUUAAAGUUUGAAGCCAAGUUUAAGGUCCAAUAUAUGUAUUAUGCCAUUUAAAUAUGUGAUUGUGAAUCUAAUUAUUAUUGAUAUAAACGUGAGGUCGCCAUAAAAACACAUCAAAUCCUGGAUUCGUCUUGCAUACGAUAAUAUAGACGGAUAAUAUCGCAUUGUACAAGAAAAUUAAUGUGUGUGAGUGCAAAGAAAAAAAUAAAGAGAGAAUGUACAAGGGCAAACAAGAAUAAGAGAUACCUAGUAACAAAAUACUGUACUAUUGUAAGAAAAGCUGUCUGCCAAAAAAGUGUAUAAAGUAAAAGUACAGAAAGCAGUGAUAGGAAUAGUAGUUUGGUGUACAAGAUUAAUGUUUAGAAUAUCAACUUUAGAUAGUCACUUCAAUUUGGCAUCAACAUCAUAUAUAAGCGCUUACCUUAAACUGACGUAUGAUCAAGUGUCAUUUCAUGCAACUUCAAAUAUUUGAGAUUCUCAAAGGUGUCUUCCUCCCCCAUGUUCCAUUCUCCCCCCUGAAUGAUUGUACGAUAAAGGGACAACUCUUCAAGGUUCGGCAGUCUCGCUAUUGUUGAUAGUGAAUCGGAUGUCAGAGGAAAGUCACCCAACGACAAAUUUUUCAAACUAGAAGGGAAGUGAAAAUCCCAUGGCCGAUUUAUGGCUGCAGAG
This 16039-nucleotide long non-coding RNA is filed under the name Solanum tuberosum (potato). RNAcentral's name for it is "long non-coding RNA (STUB_LNC006046)". Lineage: Eukaryota; Viridiplantae; Streptophyta; Magnoliopsida; Solanales; Solanaceae. The record is from RNAcentral.